GACGUAGGGAGCGAGCGUUGUCCGGAUUCAUUGGGCGUAAAGCGCGCGUAGGCGGUUUGGUAAGUCGGAUGUGAAAUCCCGAGGCUCAACCUCGGGACUGCAUCCGAUACUGCCCGACUAGAGGUAGGUAGGGGUGAUCGGAAUUCCUGGUGUAGCGGUGAAAUGCGCAGAUAUCAGGAGGAACACCGGUGGCGAAGGCGGAUCUCUGGGCCUUAACUGACGCUGAGGCGCGAAAGCUAGGGGAGCGAACAGG
RNAcentral lists this ribosomal RNA (253 nucleotides) under uncultured bacterium. RNAcentral's name for it is "partial 16S ribosomal RNA". It matches the Rfam family "Bacterial small subunit ribosomal RNA", at positions 524 to 776 of the family's 1533-position model. The record is from RNAcentral.